GAUGAACGCUGGCGGCGUGCCUAAUACAUGCAAGUCGAGCGAACAGACGAGGAGCUUGCUCCUCUGACGUUAGCGGCGGACGGGUGAGUAACACGUGGAUAACCUACCUAUAAGACUGGGAUAACUUCGGGAAACCGGAGCUAAUACCGGAUAAUAUAUUGAACCGCAUGGUUCAAUAGUGAAAGACGGUUUUGCUGUCACUUAUAGAUGGAUCCGCGCCGCAUUAGCUAGUUGGUAAGGUAACAGCUUACCAAGGCAACGAUGCGUAGCCGACCUGAGAGGGUGAUCGGCCACACUGGAACUGAGACACGGUCCAGACUCCUACGGGAGGUAGCAGUAGGGAAUCUUCCGCAAUGGGCGAAAGCCUGACGGAGCAACGCCGCGUGAGUGAUGAAGGUCUUCGGAUCGUAAAACUCCGUUAUUAGGGAAGAACAAAUGUGUAAGUAACUAUGCACGUCUUGACGGUACCUAAUCAGAAAGCCACGGCUAACUACGUG
This 497-nucleotide ribosomal RNA is filed under the name uncultured bacterium. Its description in RNAcentral is "partial 16S ribosomal RNA". It matches the Rfam family "Bacterial small subunit ribosomal RNA", at positions 28 to 507 of the family's 1533-position model. The record is from RNAcentral.